Podarcis lilfordi (Lilford's wall lizard) is the source of this 122-nucleotide non-coding RNA. The record is from the annotation of a GenBank genome assembly. Lineage: Eukaryota; Metazoa; Chordata; Lepidosauria; Squamata; Lacertidae.
AGUCCAGUGGCACCUUAGGGACCAACUAAGUUUGUUCUUGGUAUAAGCUUUCGUGUGCAUGCACACUUCUGAAAGCUCAUACCAAUAACAAACUUAGUUGGUCUCUAAGGUGCCACUGGACA